RNAcentral lists this ribosomal RNA (253 nucleotides) under uncultured bacterium. RNAcentral's name for it is "partial 16S ribosomal RNA". It matches the Rfam family "Bacterial small subunit ribosomal RNA", at positions 524 to 776 of the family's 1533-position model. The record is from RNAcentral.
GACGAACCGAGCGAACGUUAUUCGGAAUCACUGGGCUUAAAGGGCGCGUAGGCGGGCGAUCAAGUCAGGGGUGAAAGCCUCCAGCUCAACUGGAGAAGUGCCUCUGAUACUGGUCAUCUCGAGGGAGGUAGGGGCGUGCGGAACUUCCGGUGGAGCGGUGAAAUGCGUAGAUAUCGGAAGGAACACCGGUGGCGAAGGCGGGUCUCUGGGCAACAACUGACGCUGAGGAGCGAAAGCGUGGGGAGCGAACAGG